Molecule: long non-coding RNA, 260 nt
Organism: Populus euphratica (Euphrates poplar)
Lineage: Eukaryota; Viridiplantae; Streptophyta; Magnoliopsida; Malpighiales; Salicaceae
Exons: 3
Source: RefSeq, a predicted model, not a curated record
GAGGGGCAAGGCCUAGAACCAUCGGGUUCGGUGCAUGACAAGAAAGAAAGCUAUUAUGGUGGAACCCCCUCCGAGCAUUUUAUCUCACUAGCUGCACCUAGUCACCAUCAAAGAAUACCCGCAAAAAUACAAAACCCAGGUCUCAAGUCUCAAGCGCGAGAGUAAUAACGUCAACUGCCCAGUUUAGAAAACCCAAGUCUGUUCCAUAUCUCCGUAGUUCAGGCUUCCAGUGCAUGCUUGGAAAUUUUUGAGAGAGAGUG